GAUGAACGCUAGCUACAGGCUUAACACAUGCAAGUCGAGGGGAAACGAUAGAGAAAGCUUGCUUUUUCUAGGCGUCGACCGGCGCACGGGUGAGUAACGCGUAUCCAACCUGCCCAUCACUUGGGGAUAACCUUGCGAAAGUAAGACUAAUACCCAAUGACGUCUCUAGAAGACAUCUGAAGGAGAUUAAAGAUUUAUCGGUGAUGGAUGGGGAUGCGUCUGAUUAGCUUGUUGGCGGGGUAACGGCCCACCAAGGCGACGAUCAGUAGGGGUUCUGGGAGGAAGGUCCCCCACAUUGGGACUGAGACACGGUCCAAACUCCUACGGGAGGCAGCAGUGAGGAAUAUUGGUCAAUGGACGAGAGUCUGAACCAGCCAAGUAGCGUGCAGGAUGACGGCCCUAUGGGUUGUAAACUGCUUUUAUAAGGGAAUAAAGUGAGCCACGUGUGGCUUUUUGCAUGUACCUUAUGAAUAAGGACCGGCUAAUUCCGUGCCAGCCGCCGCGGUAA
Molecule: ribosomal RNA, 508 nt
Filed under: uncultured bacterium
Lineage: Bacteria
Description: partial 16S ribosomal RNA
Rfam family: Bacterial small subunit ribosomal RNA
Source: RNAcentral